This is a non-coding RNA of Callithrix jacchus (white-tufted-ear marmoset), 859 nucleotides long. The record is from RefSeq and is a predicted model, not a curated record. NCBI's taxonomy places the organism in Eukaryota, Metazoa, Chordata, Mammalia, Primates, Cebidae.
GUGCUUAACUUUUUCUUCUAUUCCCUUCUUUUCACACGCAAAAUGUAGAUUCUCUGAAUGCUAAUCAGACCUUCACAAGCUGUAACCACUUGCUUUCUUGACUACCCACCCUACGUUUUUUUUCUUUUUUUCUCUCUCUCCUGCUUACUCUUUCUCCUUUAAAUAUUGAAAUCCCCAAGCCCUUAAGCUUUUUUCCUGGAAAAUACACAAGCUCCCCAAGCGUUUUUUGGGAAAAAACACGUCAUAGGUUCUACUGCGACUUGUGUUUCUUUUUCCCAGGCAUGCACUCAACCUCGGCAAAAUAAACUUCUGAUUGAUUGAGAUCCGCUUCCAUCACUUUUUGGUCUACUGAAGGAGCAACACACCUGUCCAUCAAUAGGACUAGAGACUUUUUAAAAGUACCUCAUGUACGCAGGGAAAUCCGAAAACUACUGUGGGAACAAUAGUGAAAAAGAGCAUGGCUGUGGCAUGAAGACACUUAGAGUCUGGACAGUCUAGCACAGAACUGUUUGGAUUAUGGAGUAGAUGCCUUCAGUUUCCUGUCGACAACCUUCAGAUCUUAUCAUUUCUGUGUCCACUGGCCUACUUUCAGCUGCACGUAUCUGCAUCACUUCGCUGGAGAAUGUUCUCCAAAGCUGCUGAUGUCCUUACUGCUUCACUGCCCAUGUACAUGGUGGUCUGAAAAUGACAAGAAAAGAAUGCCCAUAAAGAAAGGCCUCAAUCAAUGAUUGAAGGAAUUGGCAUGUAAUAAAUGUCUUGCUCCUCAAUUGGGGUAACUCUUGAGUGGGUGUUCUAUAUUGUCUCCUAAAGUUCUUCAGCAAAAUUGAUUUUUCAAUAAACUCACAAUGGUUAUUUGCCA